RNAcentral lists this ribosomal RNA (94 nucleotides) under Peptostreptococcaceae bacterium. Lineage: Bacteria; Bacillati; Bacillota; Clostridia; Peptostreptococcales; Peptostreptococcaceae. The record is from RNAcentral.
UACACCUGUUCCCAUCUCGAACACAGAAGUUAAGCUCCGUUGCGCUGAUGGUACUUGGCGGGCAGCUGCCUGGGAGAGUAAGUCGUCGCCGGUU